GAUGAACGCUGGCGGCGUGCCUAAUACAUGCAAGUCGAGCGAACGGACGAGAAGCUUGCUUCUCUGAUGUUAGCGGCGGACGGGUGAGUAACACGUGGAUAACCUACCUAUAAGACUGGGAUAACUUCGGGAAACCGGAGCUAAUACCGGAUGAUAUUUUGAACCGCAUGGUUCAAAAGUGAAAGACGGUCUUGCUGUCACUUAUAGAUGGAUCCGCGCUGCAUUAGCUAGUUGGCAAGGUAACGGCUUACCAAGGCAACGAUGCAUAGCCGACCUAAGAGGGUGAUCGGCCACACUGGAACUGAGACACGGUCCAGACUCCUACGGGAGGCAGCAGUAGGGAAUCUUCCGCAAUGGGCGAAAGCCUGACGGAGCAACGCCGCGUGAGUGAUGAAGGUCUUCGGAUCGUAAAACUCUGUUAUUAGGGAAGAACAUAUGUGUAAGUAACUGUGCACAUCUUGACGGUACCUAAUCAGAAAGCCACGGCUAACUACGUG
RNAcentral lists this ribosomal RNA (497 nucleotides) under uncultured bacterium. RNAcentral describes it as "partial 16S ribosomal RNA". It matches the Rfam family "Bacterial small subunit ribosomal RNA", at positions 28 to 507 of the family's 1533-position model. The record is from RNAcentral.